Molecule: ribosomal RNA, 497 nt
Filed under: uncultured bacterium
Lineage: Bacteria
Description: partial 16S ribosomal RNA
Rfam family: Bacterial small subunit ribosomal RNA
Source: RNAcentral
GACGAACGCUGGCGGCGUGCCUAAUACAUGCAAGUUGAGCGAUGAAGCUUGGUGCUUGCACCAAUUUGAAGAGCAGCGAACGGGUGAGUAACGCGUGGGGAAUCUGCCUUUGAGCGGGGGACAACAUUUGGAAACGAAUGCUAAUACCGCAUAACAACUUUAAACAUAAGUUUUAAGUUUGAAAGAUGCAAUUGCAUCACUCAAAGAUGAUCCCGCGUUGUAUUAGCUAGUUGGUGAGGUAAAGGCUCACCAGGGCGAUGAUACAUAGCCGACCUGAGAGGGUGAUCGGCCACAUUGGGACUGAGACACGGCCCUAACUCCUACGGGAGGCAGCAGUAGGGAAUCUUCGGCAAUGGACGAAAGUCUGACCGAGCAACGCCGCGUGAGUGAAGAAGGUUUUCGGAUCGUAAAACUCUGUUGGUAGAGAAGAACGUUGGUGAGAGUGGAAAGCUCAUCAAGUGACGGUAACUACCCAGAAAGGGACGGCUAACUACGUG